CCCUUGCCUAUUACCUUGACUAUGCGCACCUUUGUUGUUUCCUCGGCAGGUUUCCUGUCAAGGGGGACCCCAAACCACCUCUGCAGUAGCAUCAAACUGAAUCAAACCACAAAUCAUUUACAACUUUCAACAAUGGAUCUCUUGGUUCUGGCAUCGAUGAAGAACGCAGCGAAAUGCGAUAAGUAGUGUGAAUUGCAGAAUUCAGUGAAUCAUCGAAUCUUUGAACGCACAUUGCGCCCCCCGGCAUUCCGUGGGGCAUGCCUGUUCGAGCGUCAUUUACCCCCUCAAGCACUGCUUGGUGUUGGGCGUCUGUCCACUUCCCACGGACUCGCCUAGAAGACAUUGGCAGUGGUUGCGCCAGCUUCGCACGCAUCACAAUGCGCUUUGCGAGGUUUUGGCGCGUCCGCGUCCACAAGCCACCCACAGUUUGACCUCGGAUCAGGUAGGGAUACCCGCUGAACUUAAGCAUAUCAAUAAGCGGAGG
RNAcentral lists this ribosomal RNA (484 nucleotides) under Ascomycota sp. OY19907. RNAcentral's name for it is "eukaryotic LSU rRNA". The stretch from base 122 to 275 matches the Rfam family "5.8S ribosomal RNA". The record is from RNAcentral. Lineage: Eukaryota; Fungi; Ascomycota.